UAAUAUAUUGUGGAACCAGUAUCUAAUUUUAAUAGCACGGAGCAUCUGAACAUAUUUAAAUUUCAAAGAACACAUAAUAAGUUUGGAAAUUCAGUGUUCUGAAAAUUGGAUGUGAUUCAUUUUGGGACAUUGCUGUCAGCAAAAGAGGGUUUCCAAGUUCCGGAUUAAAUAGGAUAUCAAUGUAUAACAUGGACUACUCAAUUAUGUUUUCUUCAGUUCAUACAUAUAUUUUGUCAUUACCAGUUUCGGAUAGAUGAAAUUACACUACUGAAUAAUGAUUAAUUUUAAUAAUAAUUUUAUCAUUUUUGAAAUGAAUUAUGAUUGUGAGGAAUGAAACAUUAAAUUAUUGCUAAGAUUGAUAUACCAUUGUCCAACUGUGAAGAAGUAGGUAGGUAGCCAAUUUUAAAAGUGCAGAUCUUUGAAGACCAGGACGUGUAAAUGUGAAUUGGAAAGUGGCAACAUAUACCUAGUUCAGACUUCAGAAAUUUAGUUAGACAUGAUUUAUGGAAAUUGGAUUCAUUAAUUUUUGGACAUUCAAAACUAUACCAUACUACUAUUGUCUGAUUGUGAAGAAGUAGGUAGCUAAUUUUAAUAGUGCAGAUCUUAGAAGACCAGGAUGUGUAAAUGUGAAUUGGAAAGCGGCAACAUAUACCUAGUUCAGACUUCAGAAAUUUAGUUAGACAUGAGUUAUGGAAAUUGGAUUCAUUAAUUUUUGGUCAUUCAAAGUAGCUUUAGAAACCCUAAUAAAUGUAUUUUCUAUCUAAUAAUUGUAUUAAAUAUAAUUAAAUAAGAUUUUAUAUUUAACUUAUGA
Molecule: long non-coding RNA, 811 nt
Filed under: Acyrthosiphon pisum (pea aphid)
Lineage: Eukaryota; Metazoa; Arthropoda; Insecta; Hemiptera; Aphididae
Description: uncharacterized LOC100574490
Source: RNAcentral